CCGGAAGUUCACUAACCCCUCCGUCAUGGCGCACGUUCUUCCUGCGUGCAGGUAGGGGGGAGGGAGCAGUGUAUGUCCACUCCGGCAUUCUCCGCCCUUAGGACGCAAGCGGAUAGAUAACUUCCGCCAACCACCACAGUCCACCAAUGAAAUUCGGAAAUAAGAAAGGCGCCAAUCAUUAGAUCCAAUUAAAGAGAUACACACAUAAUAUACCAUAUGAAGGACAGAUCAGUUCAGGGGUUCAAGAAUUUCCUGGAAGUCACAUUUUGACCGACAGACCGUUCAAUGCCCAAAACAGUUCCAAAGAAU
Pelobates cultripes (western spadefoot toad) is the source of this 309-nucleotide non-coding RNA. The record is from the annotation of a GenBank genome assembly. Lineage: Eukaryota; Metazoa; Chordata; Amphibia; Anura; Pelobatidae.